RNAcentral lists this signal recognition particle RNA (275 nucleotides) under Nicotiana attenuata. Its description in RNAcentral is "SRP RNA Plant_SRP". It matches the Rfam family "Plant signal recognition particle RNA". The record is from Rfam by way of RNAcentral. Lineage: Eukaryota; Viridiplantae; Streptophyta; Magnoliopsida; Solanales; Solanaceae.
UUCAUUGACAUGGGCUUGUAACCUAUGUAGGGGCAACAAUGUGGUGGAAUGUUAGGUUGAUUUUGAAGGUUGGGCCUCGUAUGGCUAAUGUUUGGCCUGCCCUAUCCAAGCAUGGAGUUGAGUCAUGUGGCCUAAAUGAAAAUAUGGGCUUCUUGGGUCCUAGAGUGGGGUGGACUGCGUGAGGCUGGUUUUACAGAGCAACGAACGGAUAACGGGCCGGUGCUAUUCAAGUCCAACAAACACCCGAUGGGCAACCUAAUUAAACCACCACUUUU